This 85-nucleotide transfer RNA is filed under the name Felis catus (domestic cat). It matches the Rfam family "tRNA". Rfam says of the family: Transfer RNA (tRNA) molecules are approximately 80 nucleotides in length. The record is from Rfam by way of RNAcentral. Lineage: Eukaryota; Metazoa; Chordata; Mammalia; Carnivora; Felidae.
GCCUGGGUGGCUUAGUAGGUUAAGCGUCCGACUUCAGCUCAGGUCACGAUCUCGCGGUCCGUGAGUUCGAGCCCCACGUCAGGCU